UUGAGAGGAUGCUUGUUCAAGGAUGUAAAAAACGGACUGGUGGACUCUUUACUGAAUUUACUGCGGUGUGACAGUUGCUGCUCUGACUCAAAAGAAGAGGAAAGCCUCACGAACUCGAUGCCAUCUGCACUGGGCUGAAUCCAAGCAAGCAAACAGCCAGCCAGGAGGCUGAACGCAGGAGCAGUGGGUUGCAGGCCGAGAAACAUCUGGUCCCUGGAGUCGCCAAGGCAAUUCCAGAAAAUGAUGAGCCAGUGGACCUUCGGAGAACACAUGAAAAAAAGAAAGUUUAAUAUUUUCUCCUGCCGGCUGACCUUCCCUACUGUGGCUCUCUCUCACAAGAGGAUAUAAGGCAUAGCCUGUAAUAAAAUAGGUGCUAUGGGCUGUUUGUGUCCCAGCAAAAUUCGUGUGUUGGAAUCUAAUCCCCAGUGUAAUGAUAUUUGGAGGUGGGGCCUUUGGUGAUUAGGUUAUAAGCGCAGAGCCUUCAUGAAUGGGGUUAGUGCUCUCAUAAAAGAGACCCUAGAGAGACCCUGGCCUCUUCUCCCUUGAGAAUGCGGCCACGUGAGGACCAGGAAGCAGGUGCUCAUCAGACCCUCUGCCUGCCAGCACCUUGAACGUGGACCUUCCAGCCUCCAGGACUGAGAGAAGUAAAGGUCUGCUACUUCAGUCACCCGGCCUAUGGUAUUUGGUUACAACAACCCGAACAGACACCAGUAAUUAGGGCCGGAAAGUUCUCCAGUAGACAGUGUGUUACUUGAGAACAGGAACUGGCACAACACGUGACACGGAGUUACCGUCCAGUUUAAUAAAUGAGCUGACCUGCUAAUUCUGGACCAACCAGGGACAGGACUGGGGACUGACUCCCACCUAGAGUAGACCCAGAGAUUACAGACAGCUCUGGGUCUUCCCUUCCUCCAAGCCAGGGAAUUUUAGCAGCUGAUUCAGAGACCGAGUCCCAAAGUAGGUGGCUGGACAGGGAUGGGAAGUGUGGGAUCGCAGUCUGUGUUUUGCCAUCAGAUAAAAUUAACAGUCGUGCCAGCAGGUCAAGGAGUAAUUCACUCCCAUUUGUGCCGACAGCAGAGGUACAGGGAAUACGGAAAAAGAGCAAGCAAAGCACCCGGCAUCUUUGGAGCAGUCGCUGAAGGCUCCUCGUGUGGGAUGCAGACAUUAAUUAAGGAGAAGAUACUUCAUCUUUUUUAA
This 1197-nucleotide long non-coding RNA is filed under the name Camelus dromedarius (Arabian camel). RNAcentral's name for it is "lncRNA (ENSCDRG00005020681.1)". Lineage: Eukaryota; Metazoa; Chordata; Mammalia; Artiodactyla; Camelidae. The record is from RNAcentral.